UACGGAGGGGGCGAGCGUUGUUCGGAAUUACUGGGCGUAAAGCGCGCGUAGGCGGUCAUGCAAGUCGGAUGUGAAAGCCCUCGGCUCAACCGAGGAAUUGCGUCCGAUACUGCUUGGCUUGAGUCCGGUAGGGGAUGGCAGAAUUCCCGGUGUAGCGGUGGAAUGCGUAGAUAUCGGGAGGAAUACCGAUGGCGAAGGCGGCCAUCUGGGCCGGAACUGACGCUGAGGCGCGAAAGCUAGGGGAGCAAAC
RNAcentral lists this ribosomal RNA (250 nucleotides) under uncultured bacterium. Its description in RNAcentral is "partial 16S ribosomal RNA". It matches the Rfam family "Bacterial small subunit ribosomal RNA", at positions 524 to 773 of the family's 1533-position model. The record is from RNAcentral.